GGUUUACCUGUGUGACUGCGUACCUUUUGUAUAAUGGGUCAGCGACUUAUAUUCUGUAGCAAGGUUAACCGCAUAGGGGAGCCGUAGGGAAACCGAGUCUUAACCGGGCGUUAAGUUGCAGGGUAUAGACCCGAAACCCGGUGAUCUAGCCAUGGGCAGGUUGAAGGUUGGGUAACACUAACUGGAGGACCGAACCGACUAAUGUUGAAAAAUUAGCGGAUGACCUGUGGCUGGGGGUGAAAGGCCAAUCAAACCGGGAGAUAGCUGGUUCUCCCCGAAAGCUAUUUAGGUAGCGCCUCGUGAAUUCAUCUCCGGGGGUAGAGCACUGUUUCGGCUAGGGGGCCAUCCCGGCUUACCAACCCGAUGCAAACUGCGAAUACCGGAGAAUGUUAUCACGGGAGACACACGGCGGGUGCUAACGUCCGUCGUGAAGAGGGAAACAACCCAGACCGCCAGCUAAGGUCCCAAAGUCAUGGUUAAGUGGGAAACGAUGUGGGAAGGCCCAGACAGCCAGGAUGUUGGCUUAGAAGCAGCCAUCAUUUAAAGAAAGCGUAAUAGCUCACUGGUCGAGUCGGCCUGCGCGGAAGAUGUAACGGGGCUAAACCAUGCACCGAAGCUGCGGCAGCGACGCUGAUGCGUUGUUGGGUAGGGGAGCGUUCUGUAAGCCUGUGAAGGUGUGUCGUGAGGCAUGCUGGAGGUAUCAGAAGUGCGAAUGCUGACAUAAGUAACGAUAAAGCGGGUGAAAAGCCCGCUCGCCGGAAGACCAAGGGUUCCUGUCCAACGUUAAUCGGGGCAGGGUGAGUCGACCCCUAAGGCGAGGCCGAAAGGCGUAGUCGAUGGGAAACGGGUUAAUAUUCCCGUACUUGGUGUUACUGCGAAGGGGGGACGGAGAAGGCUAUGUUGGCCGGGCGACGGUUGUCCCGGUUUAAGCGUGUAGGCUGGUUUUCCAGGCAAAUCCGGAAAAUCAAG
This 969-nucleotide ribosomal RNA is filed under the name Salmonella enterica subsp. enterica serovar Kottbus. RNAcentral describes it as "partial 23S ribosomal RNA". It matches the Rfam family "Bacterial large subunit ribosomal RNA", at positions 582 to 1554 of the family's 2925-position model. Lineage: Bacteria; Pseudomonadati; Pseudomonadota; Gammaproteobacteria; Enterobacterales; Enterobacteriaceae. The record is from RNAcentral.